UACGUAGGGCGCAAGCGUUAUCCGGAAUUAUUGGGCGUAAAGAGCUCGUAGGCGGUUUGUCGCGUCUGCCGUGAAAGUCCGGGGCUUAACCCCGGAUCUGCGGUGGGUACGGGCAGACUUGAGGGAUGUAGGGGAGACUGGAAUUCCUGGUGUAGCGGUGAAAUGCGCAGAUAUCAGGAGGAACACCGAUGGCGAAGGCAGGUCUCUGGGCAUUAACUGACGCUGAGGAGCGAAAGCAUGGGGAGCGAACAGG
RNAcentral lists this ribosomal RNA (253 nucleotides) under uncultured bacterium. RNAcentral describes it as "partial 16S ribosomal RNA". It matches the Rfam family "Bacterial small subunit ribosomal RNA", at positions 524 to 776 of the family's 1533-position model. The record is from RNAcentral.